RNAcentral lists this ribosomal RNA (403 nucleotides) under uncultured bacterium. RNAcentral's name for it is "partial 16S ribosomal RNA". It matches the Rfam family "Bacterial small subunit ribosomal RNA", at positions 30 to 526 of the family's 1533-position model. The record is from RNAcentral.
AUUGAACGCUGGCGGCAGGCCUAACACAUGCAAGUCGAGCGAGCGGCGGACGGGUGAGGAAUGUAUGGGGACUGCCCGAUAGAGGGGGAUAACUACUGGAAACGGUAGCUACUACCACAUCCUAUCGGGUAACCCAUAUGGGGUUAGCUAGUAGGUGAGGUAAUGGCUCACCUGGGCGACGAUCCCUAGCUGGUCUGAGAGGAUGAUCAGCCACACUGGGACUGAGACACGGCCCAGACUCCUACGGAGGCAGCAGUGGGGAAUAUUGCACAAUGGGCGAAAGCCUGAUGCAGCCAUGCCGCGUGUAUGAAGAAGGCCCUAGGGUUGUAAAGUACGUUCAGUCGGGAGGCGUUACCGACAGAAGAAGCACCGGCUAACUCCGUGCCAGCCGCCGCGGUAAUAC